Molecule: long non-coding RNA, 3062 nt
Filed under: Cebus imitator (Panamanian white-faced capuchin)
Lineage: Eukaryota; Metazoa; Chordata; Mammalia; Primates; Cebidae
Description: lncRNA (ENSCCAG00000038216.1)
Source: RNAcentral
GCUCCAGAGGCGGGUGCGCCGGGGCCAGGCUGCAGCCAGUCAGAGGCCACGGGGUGGGAGCUGCCUGCCGGAGGAGCGCGCGGGGAGCUGGGCCGCGCUGCGGGAGCCGCCCGGAACCAUGAAAGCCGCCUGUCUCUUCCUGCUGGCGUCCCUGCUGUGCUCCAGGCGGGCCCUGAGCCUGCAGUGCUACAACUGCGAUGCCAACAAGGAAGCCAGCCAGUGCAAGGUCUCCUCGUGCGGCGGGGUCUGCUUUAAGGGCGACGUGGUCCUGACGGUGAAAGGCAGCGGCGAGAAGGUUACCAUGGGAUUCAAGAGCUGUGCUCCCUCCUGCGAGGACGCCUCAAAGACCCUACAGUUGUUCCGGCCGGAGGGUCUGCCCGGGUUCCCCGGGGGUGUGGAGAGCGUUGUGAAUUCGGAGGUGAAGAACCUGGCCUGCUGCGAGAAGGACCUUUGCAACGGGGCAGCCAGGGCCGGGCGCAGCCUCGCGGCGCUGGCCGGGGGGCUCCUGCUCAGCUUGGGGCCCCUCCUCUUGGCGCUGCUGUGAGGACCCUCCUGCUACUCAGGCACCACGGGCUCCUCCAGAAGCUUGAAAGGGGCCUCGCCACGGUCAUGAAUUCCACCCGGGACGCACAGUCGUAGUGACCUCACACUAGCUCUCUCUUGCAUGCACGCACACUGGCACAUGCCCAUGCGUGCGCACACACACGGGGUGCCCACGGUGCCCACAGCCUCAGACCCUAGAGUGCUCAGCAAACACAGGCUGUGCUGGAGUUCAUUCCGCUCUGCCGCCCAGCGCGGGCAGGGGAGGGGCGGGCAGUCCAGGCCGCUGUGCUGACCCCAGCCGCUGCUGCCACCCACCUGCCCAGUGCCCUGCCACCUGCCAACAAGCGCGCCAAUCCCGCAGGGCCGUCAGUUAAUCACUGACCCAAGAUCCAGGGCCCACAAGACCUGGCUGGACAGGGGCCUCUCGGAGAGCCCCACCUCCGGCCCUUCCAGCCCAGCUCCUGGCAACAGCACCGCAGGCAGGGCAACAGAAAAUAAACGCUUUCCAGCAGCGGCUUCCUGCUCUGUGAAUGUCUUUCCGGUCGAACAGGGGUGGGAGAGGGGGCAGUGGAAGUGGUGGGGUGGGGAGUGCAAGGGUCUUCACCUGUGGCUUCAACCAGCUUUUCCUUCAGCCAGACAAUCCCGAACGGCUAAUUCUUGGGGACAGAAAGGAAGGCUAAGCGCAUGGCCAGUGCCAGGACCCAGUCUGGGAGGUGGCCCAACUCCUCCCACCAGGAAGCAGCCUCUUCCUCUACGCAUGCUCUCUGCAGUGCCUCCCAGGAGCCCCACCCAGCACCUCCACAGGCCAGGCAUCCAUCUAGGUCCCUCCAGGUGGUGGCUGGAGUGCCAGGAGCCCCCUCAACAGAGGCAGGUGCCAGCCCAGGAGGGGUCUCUGGCCUGGUUCCCUCCCUCAUCCUCCUUCACACUUUCUUCCCUCCAAGCCUCUGCCCUGUGGCCCACACUCUGGGUCUAGAAACUCCCCCAGCCCACAGGAGCCCACUCCUCCCUGUAGGACAGGGGUGACCAGAGCAUUACCUCCUGAGCCCCUUCCCACAGCACCUUCCUAGGGAGAAGAGCCCCCUCCCUUCCCUCCUUAUGGCCUCUUGCCCUUCUAACCCCUGAAUGUGGCCCCAAAAGCCCCAAGGGAUCACCAGAGGUGGGGUCUGUAGGUCCUUGGAGACCAGGGAGGGGCAUUCCCUUUACAGAUGGGGAAACUGAGCCCUGUCCUCGGGCUGAUGGUAUGUGACCACUGACCACUGCGCAUCCAAGUUAACUUUCCUCAGCCAGAGACACACAUCCCACGCCAACCGCGGCAGGUCGGGACGAACGAAACCACCAGAGCAAGGGUAGCUGUCUCCCCAGGCAGUGGCUGGGAGGCGGGCACAGAGCCUGUGAGGUGGUGGGGGCUGUGAGGGGGCACAGCUCCCAGGGUGGGGGCCUUGGCGGUAGGAGUGGCUGGUCCCAGGCUGGGUUGUGACCCAAACUCCUCUGGGCCUAGCCUGUGCUUCCAGGCUCUGCCCUGCCCUGCCCAUGAGGAGUCCGAGGAGCAAGGAGGCUGGGGCUGGAGCCUCAGGGUUGUGGGCACCCAGGCCCAGGAGCCUCCCGAGGACAAGGAGCCCCUGCUGUCAUCCCUGCGCCAAGGCCCCCUGGGAUGCAGGAGAAGGCCCGGCCAUCCUGUUUCUAGUUCUCUCCAGGGUCUCCUGGUGGUUCUGAGGAAGAGCAGCCGGGUCCUAGGGGACCACCCAUGCCGGAUCCUGCUUUCCCGCCCAGUAGUUUCCAUGUCCAGCCCUGAUACUUUUAAGAAAACCAAAACAGCACUUUGGCAGGCUGAGGUAGGUGGCUCACCUAAGGUCAGGAGUUCGAGACCAGCCUGGCCAUCAUAGUGAAAUCCCAUCUCUACUAAAAAGAAAAUACAAAAGUUAGCCAGGCAUGGUGGCGCAUAUCUGUAAUCUCAGCUACUCUGGAGGCCAAGGCAGGAGAAUCACUUGAAUCCAGGAGGCAGAGGUUUUAGUGAGUAAGGUCGCACCACGACAGAGUGAGCCUCUGUCUUGGGAAAAAAAGAAAGACAAGAAAACCAAAACAGACAGUUUCCAAAACCCAACCCCACAGGCCAAGCACUAGAUUUCUCACAUUUCUGAAGGUGGUGCCUGCCUGAACCACCUCUGUGGGGAGCAGCCCUCAGUGGGCCUGAUCCAGCCAGGGCACCCCCUUAUGCCACAGCACUCCCCAUGCCAUGGAACUCCCCGUAUGCCACGGCACCCCCAUCCCACCGCACCCCCUAUGCCACGGCACUCCCCCAUGCCAGGUCACUCCCCUAUGCCACGGCACUCCCCCUAUGCCAUGGCACUCCCUGUAUGCCGGGGCACUCCCCUGUGCCAGGGCACUCAUCCUAUGUGCAGAAGGACACCAGAGAGCCAAGGCCACCAGGACCUCUCAGACCAGGAGCAACUAACUGGCAGUUCUAUCUGCAGACAUGGGGUUCUGCAGUAGUGCAUGUGGAGCAUGUGCUGUGUGUGGUC